Molecule: ribosomal RNA, 425 nt
Filed under: uncultured bacterium
Lineage: Bacteria
Description: partial 16S ribosomal RNA
Rfam family: Bacterial small subunit ribosomal RNA
Source: RNAcentral
GUGGGGAAUAUUGGACAAUGGGCGAAAGCCUGAUCCAGCCAUGCCGCGUGAGUGAUGAAGGCCUUAGGGUUGUAAAGCUCUUUCAGUAGGGAAGAUAAUGACGGUACCUACAGAAGAAGCCCCGGCUAACUUCGUGCCAGCAGCCGCGGUAAUACGAAGGGGGCUAGCGUUGUUCGGACUUACUGGGCGUAAAGCGCACGUAGGCUGAUAUUUAAGUCAGGGGUGAAAUCCCGGGGCUCAACCCCGGAACUGCCUUUGAUACUGGGUAUCUUGAGUAUGGAAGAGGUCAGUGGAAUUGCGAGUGUAGAGGUGAAAUUCGUAGAUAUUCGCAGGAACACCAGUGGCGAAGGCGGCUGACUGGUCCAUUACUGACGCUGAGGUGCGAAAGCGUGGGGAGCAAACAGGAUUAGAUACCCCUGUAGUCC